GCACCUACCGAUUGAAUGGUCUGGUGAAGCCUCGGGAUUGUGGCGAGUUCCCUUUAUUGGGAGUUUGUCGCGAGAACUUGUCUAAACCUUAUCAUUUAGAGGAAGGUGAAGUCGUAACAAGGUUUCCGUAGGUGAACCUGCAGAAGGAUCAAGAUCGGUCGAGCGUGGUGCAGGUAAAGAGUGUAGGUCUAUCUCGUUGCUGUAUCAUUAAUAAAAAAAAAAUAUCAUAACUCGCGCCAUGUCCGUCAUACUCUUCGUCAACAUCUUGUCCGUCAUC
This 277-nucleotide unclassified non-coding RNA is filed under the name sea anemone metagenome. RNAcentral's name for it is "partial contains small subunit ribosomal RNA and internal transcribed spacer 1". The stretch from base 1 to 154 matches the Rfam family "Eukaryotic small subunit ribosomal RNA", at positions 1678 to 1831 of the family's 1831-position model. The record is from RNAcentral.